This 759-nucleotide long non-coding RNA is filed under the name Anser brachyrhynchus (Pink-footed goose). RNAcentral describes it as "lncRNA (ENSABRG00000015151.1)". The record is from RNAcentral. Lineage: Eukaryota; Metazoa; Chordata; Aves; Anseriformes; Anatidae.
GCCUUCUUUAAUCCUGUGAAGUAAAAGAAUAGGGAUUUUCCUCUGAAGAAAGGAAGGGAAAGCUUGACAAGUGGGAGGAGCUCAGAAGGGGGUAAACCUUUGUUUUAUUGCUAUUUGAAAUCUGUAAUUGAUAUUAUAAAACUUCAUGAUGAAAUAAGCUCUUCCAGCCCUUCAGAGACCACAGCCUCCAAAGUUAUUUUGCUAACAUUUGCUCCUAGGCAAACCCCAUAAAUGUACAAUACAACAAUGUGCUAGAACUGCCUGGAUGACCUUCAGCUGAGCAGUUCCACUCCCUGUGCAGGUGAUCAGCACCAUCCUCACAAGUCCUGGGUCUUAUUGCUGGUCUCUUUACAGCAACCAAUUCUGAAAUAACGAGACACUGAAAGCAGCAGGUGGAUAUUUGACUAGCUUUCUAGAAUUGUCUAAGUUUCUUUGAACACUUUUGGGAUAUCUUGCAAAGUAUUAGAGUUUGGCCUUUAACGCUUGGUCCUGCAGCCUUUGAAACCCUGGCCAGUGAAAACACCUAUUUGAGCGUAUUUGGAGAAGUGCCCAGAGGCUAUGAAUGAAACUGCUGAACAUUUCACAGAUACUGCAAGGGGCAAUUUCUGCCCCAUGCAGUUUACAGCAAAAAAUAAGCAAGACAGCCAAAAGCAGGAGGCAAUAACCAAGGGAGGGAUUUGGCAUGAAAUCUGCUGCAAGAACAUGCAAGUGCGGGAAGCAACAGAGAGCUCUGCUGCUGCAGAUUUCCGUCAGGGUUAG